CGGGAAUUUUGGGCAAUGGGCGAAAGCCUGACCCAGCAACGCCGCGUGAGGGAUGAAGUAUUUCGGUAUGUAAACCUCGAAAGAAUGGGAAGAAUAAAUGACGGUACCAUUUAUAAGCUCCGGCUAACUACGUGCCAGCAGCCGCGGUAAUACGUAGGGAGCAAGCGUUGUUCGGAUUUACUGGGCGUAAAGGGCGCGUAGGCGGCGCGGUAAGUCACUUGUGAAAUCUCUGAGCUUAACUCAGAACGGCCAAGUGAUACUGCUGUGCUAGAGUGCGGAAGAGGCAACCGGAAUUCUUGGUGUAGCGGUGAAAUGCGUAGAUAUCAAGAGGAACACCUGAGGCGAAGGCGGGUUGCUGGGCCGACACUGACGCUGAUGCGCGAAAGCCAGGGGAGCAAACA
This 401-nucleotide ribosomal RNA is filed under the name uncultured bacterium. Its description in RNAcentral is "bacterial SSU rRNA". It matches the Rfam family "Bacterial small subunit ribosomal RNA", at positions 356 to 774 of the family's 1533-position model. The record is from RNAcentral.